This is a small RNA of Limnothrix rosea, 65 nucleotides long. It matches the Rfam family "Cyanobacterial functional RNA 1". NCBI's taxonomy places the organism in Bacteria, Bacillati, Cyanobacteriota, Cyanophyceae, Pseudanabaenales, Pseudanabaenaceae. The record is from Rfam.
GAACAAAAGUUUUUGUUCACUCCUCACACCAUAUCUCGCCCGGAUCGCCAUAGUAUUCGGGCGUU